CUCAGGCCCAUCACCCAUAGCCUGCAUGAUAUAAGAGGAUAAUACAGUUAAAUGGCAAGUUAAAAGGGAAGGGUUUAAUACCCCACAGGAGAAAAGUAAUAAUUAGGCAAAUGUACAGUAAACCUGUCAUGUGGUGUGUUUAGAGGACCCAGGAGCCGGCAGGACUAAGCAAGAGGUGUCGCUGGGUGAGAGAAGAAUAACACGCGACAAAGUUCCAUCACCAAAAUGGCCACUGCCAGAGGGUAAAAACGAGCUGCGGCCAGUGAACAGAGAGGGCGAGGGGGAGGGUGGCCACGCGCACUAAUAUCCACGCGGUCCACCCGGACAGAACGGGGGGCCGCAGCUAACUUGCCGACGGCCCAAUGCGGCCCAUGGGCAGGGAGCGUUGGGCAGCCCAGCAAGAAGCCACCCACGCUAUGAAAAGGGUGGAGGAAGGGAUACCAGAACCUCCAGCGUGGA
Molecule: non-coding RNA, 459 nt
Organism: Pelobates cultripes (western spadefoot toad)
Lineage: Eukaryota; Metazoa; Chordata; Amphibia; Anura; Pelobatidae
Source: the annotation of a GenBank genome assembly